AUUGAACGCUGGCGGCAGGCCUAACACAUGCAAGUCGAGCGGAUGAAGGGAGCUUGCUCCUGGAUUCAGCGGCGGACGGGUGAGUAAUGCCUAGGAAUCUGCCUGGUAGUGGGGGAUAACGUCCGGAAACGGGCGCUAAUACCGCAUACGUCCUGAGGGAGAAAGUGGGGGAUCUUCGGACCUCACGCUAUCAGAUGAGCCUAGGUCGGAUUAGCUAGUUGGUGGGGUAAAGGCCUACCAAGGCGACGAUCCGUAACUGGUCUGAGAGGAUGAUCAGUCACACUGGAACUGAGACACGGUCCAGACUCCUACGGGAGGCAGCAGUGGGGAAUAUUGGACGAUGGGCGAAAGCCUGAUCCAGCCAUGCCGCGUGUGUGAAGAAGGUCUUCGGAUUGUAAAGCACUUUAAGUUGGGAGGAAGGGCAGUAAGUUAAUACCUUGCUGUUUUGACGUUACCAACAGAAUAAGCACCGGCGAACUUCG
Molecule: ribosomal RNA, 482 nt
Filed under: uncultured bacterium
Lineage: Bacteria
Description: partial 16S ribosomal RNA
Rfam family: Bacterial small subunit ribosomal RNA
Source: RNAcentral